This 127-nucleotide ribosomal RNA is filed under the name uncultured bacterium. RNAcentral describes it as "partial 16S ribosomal RNA". The record is from RNAcentral.
AAGUACGUUCAGUCUCGUUCACGAACGAGAGUUUAUUCCUUAAUAAAAGCAGUUUACAACCCAUAGGGCCGUCAUCCUGCACGCGGCAUGGCUGGUUCAGACUUUCGUCCAUUGACCAAUAUUCCUC